RNAcentral lists this long non-coding RNA (257 nucleotides) under Elaeis guineensis (African oil palm). RNAcentral describes it as "long non-coding RNA (EGUI_LNC012901)". The record is from RNAcentral. Lineage: Eukaryota; Viridiplantae; Streptophyta; Magnoliopsida; Arecales; Arecaceae.
UACAUCUAUUUCUCAAUUGUAGUUGUCUGGCUUUAAUUAUAAUAUUAAUAGGCUUAUCUGAACUAAUUAUUGGCAACUUGCUAAUGGUUCCACCCACGCAAAAAGUAAUCUCAUGUGGAUUGAUGAGGACUCAAGAGUAUAAUCAAUUGAAUUGUUGGUCAAGAGACUGCUUCAGUGACUCAGUUUAACCUUGCGUUUAGGAGAUUAGAUAGCUCAGGGAAUCCUAUGAGAGCUCCAUGUGUCUUACCUCUUGGGGG